UGGGGUUAUGGGACCAAAUACAAGCUGGAUGUCGUCACUGGGGUUAUGGGACCAAAUACAAGCUGGAUGUCGUCACUGGGGUUAUGGGACCAAAUACAAGCUGGAUGUCGUCACUGGGGUUAUGGGACCAAAUACAAGCUGGAUGUCGUCACUGGGGUUAUGGGACCAAAUACAAGCUAGAUGUCGUCACUGGGGUUAUGGGACCAAAUACAAGCUGGAUGUCGUCACUGGGGUUAUGGGACCAAAUACAAGCUGGAUGUCGUCACUGGGGUUAUGGGACCAAAUACAAGCUGGAUGUCGUCACUGGGGUUAUGGGACCAAAUACAAGCUGGAUGUCGUCACUGGGGUUAUGGGACCAAAUACAAGCUGGAUGUCGUCACUGGGGUUAUGGGACCAAAUACAAGCUGGAUGUCGUCACUGGGGUUAUGGGACCAAAUACAAGCUGGAUGUCGUCACUGGGGUUAUGGGACCAAAUACAAGCUGGAUGUCGUCACUGGGGUUAUGGGACCAAAUACAAGCUGGAUGUCGUCACUGGGGUUAUGGGACCAAAUACAAGCUGGAUGUCGUCACUGGGGUUAUGGGACCAAAUACAAGCUGGAUGUCGUCACUGGGGUUAUGGGACCAAAUACAAGCUGGAUGUCGUCACUGGGGUUAUGGGACCAAAUACAAGCUGGAUGUCGUCACUGGGGUUAUGGGACCAAAUACAAGCUGGAUGUCGUCACUGGGGUUAUGGGACCAAAUACAAGCUGGAUGUCGUCACUGGGGUUAUGGGACCAAAUACAAGCUGGAUGUCGUCACUGGGUUAUGGGACCAAAUACAAGCUGGAUGUCGUCACUGGGGUUAUGGGACCAAAUACAAGCUGGAUGUCGUCACUGGGGUUAUGGGACCAAAUACAAGCUAGAUGUCGUCACUGGGGUUAUGGGACCAAAUACAAGCUGGAUGUCGUCACUGGGGUUAUGGGACCAAAUACAAGCUGGAUGUCGUCACUGGGGUUAUGGGACCAAAUACAAGCUGGAUGUCGUCACUGGGGUUAUGGGACCAAAUACAAGCUGGAUGUCGUCACUGGGGUUAUGGGACCAAAUACAAGCUGGAUGUCGUCACUAGGGUUAUGGGAC
This 1115-nucleotide long non-coding RNA is filed under the name Oncorhynchus kisutch (coho salmon). RNAcentral's name for it is "lncRNA (ENSOKIG00005043553.1)". Lineage: Eukaryota; Metazoa; Chordata; Actinopteri; Salmoniformes; Salmonidae. The record is from RNAcentral.